GUCUACGGCCAUGCUACCCAUGAACAAGCCCGAUCUCAUCUGAUCCUGGAAGCUAACCAGGGUCGAGUCUGAUUAAUACUUGGAUGGGAGACCACCUAGGAAGACCAGGUGCUAUAGGCG
This 120-nucleotide ribosomal RNA is filed under the name Pteropus vampyrus (large flying fox). Lineage: Eukaryota; Metazoa; Chordata; Mammalia; Chiroptera; Pteropodidae. The record is from RNAcentral.